GCAUUUCAUUAGUGAUGUUCAUUUUAUAAAAUCAGCAGAUCUCUGUUGGUUUUCAUCAUUUAAUUGAAGCUUUUGAGGUCGAUUUAAGGUAAGAGUAUAGGAAAAAUUUAAUUAAAUAACUUAAUUUUAGUGUUGUCAACGGUUAAACGGUUAAUCGGUCGAACGACCGAAUACCGAAUACCAAAAACGCUAACCGGUUAACCGGACUUUUUUCAAUUUUGAUAGAUUCGAUAUAAAUCUGUAUUGAAAUCAUAGAAAAUGUCGUCGUGGUAAUUAAUUUGACAGAUCAAUUGUCCAGUAUAUUGAUUGCUAUUGUUAAUCCUAAAAACAUAAAAUUGAUUAGAGUUCCGGGC
This 353-nucleotide long non-coding RNA is filed under the name Mytilus galloprovincialis (Mediterranean mussel). The record is from RNAcentral. Lineage: Eukaryota; Metazoa; Mollusca; Bivalvia; Mytilida; Mytilidae.